This is a long non-coding RNA of Cyprinus carpio carpio, 707 nucleotides long. NCBI's taxonomy places the organism in Eukaryota, Metazoa, Chordata, Actinopteri, Cypriniformes, Cyprinidae. The record is from Ensembl.
CUGGAAGUGGAUUACGGCCGCUGAAAUACGACAUGGUGAUGCAGUUACAAUUGCGUCUAACAUGGUUCGCAUGGUUCAUAAGUCCAAAAUCAACGACUAUAUUGCUUCAGAUUGAAAUCUAUUCGAUUGCAAGAAUCCUCGCGCCAACACUUUCAGACGCUUCAGACCACCAGGACUUUACUAGAUUCCCCUUCAGACACACAUGACAAGUCUUCAAGUUCUGCUGUAGGAUGGCGUGUCUAGUCCUGAGUCAUCUCUUGACGUGACUCUGAUUUCCUGGCUAUCAUGGCCUACAGGAACGUCGGUCUCUGCUCAGUCCAUAGUACAUGGCUGCCAUAUCCUCCCUUCUACUGCCUGGCCUCGGGGUCCUGGAGAGGGAAUGGCCCGUCAGCACAGGAUAUGUGUAAUCAGCUGAUAGGGGAACCAUCAGAAGAUCUGGGCACGGAGGGUAAAUGGCACCCUCUAACCCAAACAAAUGCCAGCGGAAAUGAACACUGAUGACUGUCGUUCAGCUGAAUCAUGCAGUGGAGAGGUGAAAGUUUUACAGCCAUUCAUCUAGUAGUUCAAGGGGCACGCUUUUGAGCGCACGUCUUCUGAAGGACAGGCGUGUCCGUGACUCUCUUCCAGGGUAUUUUCCAGCCGCCAUGUUCACUUGGCCCGACGACAGCAGAGUCGACAGCAAAUGAAUUUAGAGCUUGUUACAGGCC